Molecule: long non-coding RNA, 343 nt
Organism: Fukomys damarensis (Damara mole-rat)
Lineage: Eukaryota; Metazoa; Chordata; Mammalia; Rodentia; Bathyergidae
Exons: 3
Source: RefSeq, a predicted model, not a curated record
UAUCGCAGCUGUGCCCUGGAGCUGUGUCCUCAGAGCCUUUUACUUGCCCUUUGCAAAAAGAAAAAGAGGGUUGAUCGGAAGGGAAAUUGAAAAGAGAGAUUGAGGAUGCUACAGGAUAACUUGGAAAGGUUCAAAGACAUCUUUUAGAGGCAAUUGGAGUACCUCAGUCUUGCCAUGGUGGAUCCAUAUUGUGGCUCAGUUGAUUUCUUCAUGGAGGACAUCAUACGGUUCAUAAGAAUUCUCUCUGUGAAGACAGUGAAGACACAAACAUACAAGAAGGAGCGAGAGAGGGAGAGGGAGAGACAGAGAGAAACAGAGAGACAAAGUGUGUGUGAGAGAGACG